RNAcentral lists this ribosomal RNA (443 nucleotides) under uncultured Christensenellaceae bacterium. RNAcentral describes it as "bacterial SSU rRNA". It matches the Rfam family "Bacterial small subunit ribosomal RNA", at positions 338 to 795 of the family's 1533-position model. Lineage: Bacteria; Bacillati; Bacillota; Clostridia; Christensenellales; Christensenellaceae. The record is from RNAcentral.
CCUACGGGGGGCUGCAGUGGGGAAUAUUGGGCAAUGGGCGAAAGCCUGACCCAGCAACGCCGCGUGAGGGAAGAAGGUUCUCGGAUUGUAAACCUCUGUCCUUGGUGACGAAAAAAAUGACGGUAGCCAAGGAGGAAGCCCCGGCUAACUACGUGCCAGCAGCCGCGGUAAUACGUAGGGGGCAAGCGUUGUCCGGAAUGACUGGGCGUAAAGGGCGUGUAGGCGGCCGAUUAAGUCUGGAGUGAAAGUCCUGCUUUCAAGGUGGGAAUUGCUUUGGAGACUGGUUGGCUUGAGUGCGGAAGAGGCAAGUGGAAUUCCCAGUGUAGCGGUGAAAUGCGUAGAGAUUGGGAGGAACACCAGUGGCGAAGGCGACUUGCUGGGCCGUAACUGACGCUGAGGCGCGAAAGCGUGGGGAGCGAACAGGAUUAGAUACCCCGGUAGUC